GCACUUUCAGUGUCCGAGUUGUAAUUUGAAGAAGGUAUCUUUGGGUCUAGCUCUUGUCUAUGUUUCUUGGAACAGAACGUCACAGAGGGUGAGAAUCCCGUGCGAUGAGAUGUCUAGAUCUAUGUAAAGUUCCUUCGAAGAGUCGAGUUGUUUGGGAAUGCAGCUCUAAGUGGGUGGUAAAUUCCAUCUAAAGCUAAAUAUUGGCGAGAGACCGAUAGCGAACAAGUACAGUGAUGGAAAGAUGAAAAGAACUUUGAAAAGAGAGUGAAAAAGUACGUGAAAUUGUUGAAAGGGAAGGGCUUGAGAUCAGACUUGGUAUUUUGUAUGUUACUCUCUCGGGGGUGGCCUCUACAGUUUACCGGGCCAGCAUCAGUUUGAGCGGUAGGAGAAUUGCGUAGGAAUGUGGCUCGGCCUCGGUCGAGUGUUAUAGCCUUCGUCGAUACUGCCAGCUUAGACUGAGGACUGCGGCUUCGGCCUAGGAUGUUGGCAUAAUGAUCUUAAG
RNAcentral lists this ribosomal RNA (502 nucleotides) under Rhodotorula mucilaginosa. RNAcentral describes it as "partial large subunit ribosomal RNA". It matches the Rfam family "Eukaryotic large subunit ribosomal RNA", at positions 125 to 644 of the family's 3401-position model. The record is from RNAcentral. Lineage: Eukaryota; Fungi; Basidiomycota; Microbotryomycetes; Sporidiobolales; Sporidiobolaceae. RNAcentral also lists the same sequence under 1 other name.